Molecule: ribosomal RNA, 441 nt
Filed under: uncultured bacterium
Lineage: Bacteria
Description: partial 16S ribosomal RNA
Rfam family: Bacterial small subunit ribosomal RNA
Source: RNAcentral
CCUACGGGAGGCUGCAGUGGGGAAUAUUGCACAAUGGGGGGAACCCUGAUGCAGCGACGCCGCGUGAGUGAAGAAGUAUUUCGGUAUGUAAAGCUCUGUCAGCAGGGAAGAAGAAAGACGGUACCUGACCAAGAAGCCCCGGCUAACUACGUGCCAGCAGCCGCGGUACUACGUAGGGGGCACGCGUUAUCCGGAUUUACUGGGUGUAACGGGAGCGUAGGCGGGAGGGCAAGUCUGGAGUGAAAGGAUGGGGGCCAACCCCUGGAUUGCACUGGAAACUGGCCGGCUGGAGUGCAGGAGAGGUAAGUGGAAUUCCUAGUGUAGCGGUGAAAUGCGUAGAUAUUAGGAGGAACACCAGUGGCGAAGGCGGCUUACUGGACUGUAACUGACGUUGAGGCUCGAAAGCGUGGGGAGCAAACAGGAUUAGAUACCCCAGUAGUC